UUUUUUUUUUGGUCGUUUUAGGGCCAUACCCACAACGUAUGAGGUUUCCAAGCUAGGGGUCGAAUCAGAGCUGAAGCUGCUGGCUUAUGGCACAGCUACAGCCACAGCAAUGCAGGAUCUGAGGCAUGUCUGUGACCUACACCGCAGCUCACAGCAAUGCUGAUCCUUAAGCCACCAAAUAAGGCCAGGGAUCUAACCCACAUCCUCAUGGAUACUAGCCAGGUUUGUUUCCACUGAGCUACAACAAGAACUCCUAAAUGCUUGUUCCAAAUACUAAAUGCCCCAAUAAGGACAGCAGUUAAAACACGUAAGCUCUUAGGUUGAGAAUGGGAGUGUCAGUACAGACCCAACGUACUUAUUUGCUAAUGACUAUUGGCCAGUUUACAAUUUAUCUUUGAUGUACACCCUCAUAUUUGUCCAGUAACUAUCUCACACUGUACACAUAAAAACUCUGUUGACGUUUAUAAGCAUUCUAGCCAUCAGAGCUACUCCAAGAGUGACAGCGGUACUGUGUUAAUCACUUUCUCUCCCCUUCAGAAGAUAAAGAUUCAUUUUCAUUAUUUAAGCUAGGAUCUUACUGUGGCUGAGGUUUAAUGACAGGAAACAAUCACGACUCUUAAACUCCAAUGGCUCAGAAACCAAAAAUCUUUCCACCAAAAAGGAUUCAAUAAAUAUCAUUUUGUAUGUGUUACCCUGUUCCCAGGCUGCAUGUCUUGACUGAAUUUGCAAGUGUGGCAGGUCCCUGUUAGAUCUUUUAUGCAUCCUAUGUGAGGAGCCUGCCUUCCCUGCCUCCGUGUCCCUUUUCCUGUCCCCCCCCACAGGGUUAGGCAGCAGCCUGACCUCAGCCCCUCUCCGCUGGGCCUUGCCUGCCAUCCUCCUCUGGAUGGUCAAGUCAUUUCCUGGAGAAACAGCCUGUCUGUGGAGAAGCUUGGACAACACCGAACAAAGUCUGAGAAGGCAAGGCCUCUUCUGAAGCCAGGUUGGUCUCUUUUCAGAGUGUGACCUGGAGGAAGCCCUUUCCGUAUUUACUCGUGGACUGUCUGCAUAUGUUAUCCUCUGGUUCUGUUUGGCAGAGGCAAUGUAUAAUAUUUUGCUCUCCAUAGAUAUUUUUCUGGGAGGGCUGGUGCAGUGUUAGCCUGAGGCCUCGGAAGGCUUCGUAAGCACUUUCAAAGAGGUGUGACCUGAACUGACUGAAAAUCCCGGAGGCAGAGAAGGGUGUUCACACUUUUUUGUUGCGCCUUCAGAGGCUGGCGCUAUGAACUAUGAACCCUGAGUGUUCCGCCUCGGAUGCGGGCACGUCAUUGGUGCGCCACUCAUCUUCCCACCAAAUAUUUAUGGAACUGCCCCUGCACUGUAAGCGCCUCUGGGUGCUGGAGGUGGACCAGAUAACCUGGUGCCCACUCUCCUGGAGCUUAGCUUCAAAUGGGAGAAGGCUGGCAAUCAGGUCAACGCAAGCAUUUCAAAUAAUGAACAACAGUAGAUGAAAGAAAAUGGCAAAAUGCAGUGACUAGGCCAGGUGACUAGAGAAGGGCUCUCGCAAGGUGACUUAAGAUGAGGCCUGAAUGAACAGGAGGAGUCAGCCUUACAAUCUGCUUUUGUUCCUGCUCCUUGCCAGAACAAAUUACCAUGAGUGAGUGGCUUAAACCAGCACGCACAUAUCAUCUCACAGUUUUGUAGGCUGGAAGUCUAACCUGGGUCUCACUGGGUUAAAACCGAGGUGCUGGCAGGGCGGCGUUCCUUUCUGGAGGCUCCGAGGGAGACUCCACUUCCUUGCCUUCCUGGCCAACUUUAGCUGCAGCCCGAACUGCAUGGUGCAUGGCCCUCUUCAUCUUCAGCACCAGCAAUGAUGGGCUCCAUCCCUCUCACAUCACCAACCUUCAUUCUGUCCCCCUCUUCCACUUUUAAAGAUGCCUGGGAUCCCACUGGGCCCACCUGGAAAAUCUUUAUCUCAAGAUUUCUGUGGGAACUGCCUCUGCUGAUGUCUCAGCGGGAAAAAGGCCAGCCCCAUGACAUGCUGAGGACCCCAGGGAAGACGAGGCUGCACCGGGCAGGUGGGUGCUGGUUUCAAUGUCCAGGUGCUAUACCACCUGGCCCAGGGGUCUUUAAGCCCAACUUCUACUCCCUGGCCUGGACUCCUAUGGUGACCACAAUUCCUGGAGUCCCUCACUCAAAUCUCAUUUCCCAUCUCAUACGCCUGUCAGGCCCUCAUCAUCCCCUGUCCGCACUUCUACAACUUGGUACUUUCCAUACUGGUCUCCAGACUCCAUUUCUCCCUCUGGACACCCUCAACUGAUCUUCCUAAAAUUCAAUCCCUGCUUAAAACUUCUCCCUGGUUUGGAAUAAAAUCCACACACCUAAACUUGGCUUCACAGUCCUCCGCAAGCUGAUCCCCACCUGCCCUUCCUGCCUCCUGUACUGCUCUCUGACUUUGUCGCCCCAGGAGACUGCCCUCUGCCUCCAUACCCUCCGCCUUGCUCCGGCUGCUCCCUCUCCCUCAUCCAGGUAAAAGGAGCUACUUUUGCCUCUGUACUCUCAGGUGCUAUCCUAGGAAGGUGAGGACUAUAGGAUUUCUGUUUGUGUGCCUGGGGCCUAGCAAUACAGAAAAAGUUCAACAUCAUUAGCAUUGAAUGAAUUAACGGCUUGGUGGUAAUUCUGGUCUCUGCUCCCUCCCUCCCAGGUAUUUUCAGAGAGGACCUUCACCCCCUAGCCUUUCUUCCCUAGGUGGGGAACCAUCCCCAUGAUGCUCUCUAGGCAUGUUUCAACUGAGGCUGCAUGGCCAGGUGACACUGUGAGCACAGGUGGGGGCCAGGUCUGAGGCCGUUCUGUAGCCCUGCCCCUUCCUGCUCUAUCCAGAGGCUGCCUUGGCCCUGCAGACAGCUACCCCUGUCCCAUAGGGCUGCUACUUUGCUCCUGAGCCAGGCACCUCUUUCCUGGCCUGUCCCUUUUACGCACUGAGGAAUUUCACAGAGCCUGGAUCAUGUGCCUGAGGGAGAGAAGAGCCCUUGUUUGUUGCAGGGCCACCUCCUUAAAGAAACCCUCCUGCCGUGAAGUAAGAGGGAGCAGCCCAGGCCUGUGUGCUAGGGCAAGCAACUUCUUGUCCUAAGUCCCCUGCACUCAGGAUUCAGCACAGGGGAGAUUUCGGUGCUGCCACCCUGGUGUGCCUCGCACUGUGCCUUACACCGAAAGGCAGGUGUCCCCAUCUGCAAGAACUGAGGCUUGGCGCUUUAAGCAGUGGAGCUGGGACUCAGCCCCGGUUCUUUCACCCUAAGACCAGUGGUCAUCCCUCUCUAUUCCAUAGGAUAUCCUGGCUUGAUAGAAAAUGAGGAUGCAAAACGGCUAAGUCAGGGGUAUGAUUCCUCUGCCUACUGCAAAAUGAGAUGGUUUCAGGGUUUCCAGAAGAGCAGAGAAACAAAGCUGUCUCUCUUGCUCUAGUCUAGCCAUUUCUAGGAAAACCUUGCGGGGUAGGGAAUGGGGGUGGGAGGAUCCUGGACAACAGAUUUCUAUCCAGGAAAGAUUUCAAUAGUUUUUCACCUUUAAAAACUUUUAUUAUGUUUAAAUUUAGCUUUAACAUAAUAUUUAAUAAGCUUAAGUAAUUAGUAAUUAGUAAGUAUUUAAUAAACAAUACAAUUAAUAAUUUUGUCUUUAGAAUCAAUAUUCAAUAUAAGGUACAGGUUAAGAAAACUUUUUUACAUUUUUAAGUUCAACUUAUAAAUUUGUUACUCUAAGUAUAGCAGAUUGUGGUAAUAAUUCUGGAGAAGCCUUUGAAUAAUGCUUAGUCCUAUCUACAAGCUUAGCUCAGCACUGCAAAUGCUUUUGAAUGCAUUUAUAAAUUUAAUAUAUUUAUUUAUUUUUAAAGUACUUCAGUUUUUCUGACAGCACGUAAAAGCUUUCCCAAUCCUAAAUUCUCACAGAAACUAAUAAAUAUAUAAAUAAGAGAAUUUUAAAUGUUUUUAUACUUUACUCAGAUGUCACCAUAAAAAUCAUUAAGUCUAAUUAUACUCGAUUAUACAUUUUAAAGUGGAGUUAUAAAACUGUCAUUCUAAUGGGCCUUAUUCUCUUAAAUACCAUAUGCAUCUACAACAUCAAAUAUGCAGUUUCCUUCCUAAAAUAAAAAUAUCAGAGCUACAGCUUUGUUUCUUUCAAAUCUUUCUCCAUGUAAGCCUAAAUCUUCCUGGUGUUUUGGUUGUUAAGUUAUUGUCUCAGCUUGAAGCCUUUUCAAUAGUUUGGAAUGCUGGGGCUGACACACCACCCACCUGUUUUUAUGAGCAGGGUCCCUGUUAGCUCUGCCAAUGAGGGCGCUAGAGGGAGCCUGGAAGGUUAGCAGAGUGAGAUGAGACUGCUGGUCUCUGCUUCCCAUCUUGGGAGCACUGCACUGGCAGUUGGGUUCAGUGAUAGCAAUUGGCUCCAAUUUGUAGGUUUUCUUUCCUCUGUCCCAGAACCUACCUCCACAUUCCCCUCACUCCCUGCAACAGCAGCACUGGCUGGCCCGGUCCCUCCUCAGAAGUCAGCCCAGCUCUCAGCAGCCCUCCCCAACCCUUGACAUCUCAAGCAUCCCCAACUCUUCCUUCUGAGGGUGGUAGUUGCUUCCUAUAGCUACUUCUGUGAUUCCUCGGUCCACUCUUUGCCAUUUUACUUGUCUAAUACAUGAUUAAUUCUAUUAAAUGCUCCCUAUUAAAAUGAUGGAUGUGGUUUCUGACCUCUGACUAGACCCAGACUGAUGACCUGGUGUUGAAAACUACACACCUACUAAAGAAGACAGUAACCAUUCCAGUUAACCAAUGUUACACAAGACCAGAAACUUCCUUUGCGCCUGAGACCACAACCUGCAGACUUUCAGAGUUUCUUCUCAUCCCUACCUAAGGAAACCACAGUAUUUUAGGUAAUUUGGGUGAUUGUUCCUCAGCAUUCUUGAAAUUACCAGUGAAGUAUACUUGAUUCUUAACAGCAUCCCCAACAGACACUGAGUGAUAUUUAUGAUUUUUUUUAGUCAAUGACUUCAUAACCUAAAGGAAGUAUUAGACACUUUCCUAGUUCUCCCGUCUACCUUCAUAAGCAUGCCUUUCUCACCAAGUCACUCAUUAAACUGGUUCUUAAUUUCCUUGGUUAUUCUGACCUAAGUCUAAUCACCUCUAAGAAGAAUCCUAAGCAAUGCAAGUACUUUGAGCCUAACAGGCUCCUGAAUUCUUUCAUAUUCUCGGGAACACAUAAUAACUUUUAACAAAUACCUAAACUUUACUCUGAUAUCAGUUAUAUAUCGACAAUAGCUUUGUUUGAGGUCCAGUUUAUGAGGUCAUUCCAUUCUCUGUAGACUGAACUAGGAUCAAGUCAGUUGUCUGCCAAUAGAAACAUUUGCUGCUCAUUCUAAGGCACUUUUGAGAAAGGGCUCAGUAAGUGGAAAUAGCAUACAGCCUCUGGUUCUGGCCAUGGGGGAAUGACUUGUAUUAGAUGAAUCUUUCUGCCAAAAUAAUAUAAAAGUUGGACAAACAUAUAAAGCAUCUGUUUAAAAGAAAUGCAAAGCACCCGGUGCAGGCAGUAUCUGAACUUCCAUCACCUCUAAGAGAAAGGAAACAAAUGAGGCAAGAAACACAUUCACUCUGGUUUUUCCACAGGGUUUUUCCCCAAGUCACUGGUAGGGGUGGAGGUGGGAGGGAGUGGGUGAUAGUAGCAAGCAACAGUCUUACUGGGCUGAGAUCAGAGUUUAAGGCUGGAGAGUAGUGGAACCUGAAGGGAGAGUGAUGGAGAGGACUGGAUGAGAAAUCUGCAUAGAUGUUCUGCUAAAGUUGUUGGCUGACCCCUAAGCUGAGUUCUCAUGCAGCGAGAACUCCAAGAAACCCAGUAGAAAGCGGGAGCUGGGAUGCUAAAGAGCUUAACAGAUUUUAGCUGCUGCAGAAUGCUGAGGAGACAGUGGAGGGGCUUUGGACAACAUCCUGGGCUUCUGGUUGAGGCCCAACAAGGCCACAUUCUGGGAAUAAGGGUCAUGCCCAGUAACAAGAUGGAGGACUAAAAUACAAGGAAAUCAGAAGUUACAUUAAAAGUAAAUGAAUGAUACACUCCAAUGGAAAGACAGAGAUGACCAGACCAGACUAAAAAAUAAAAACAUGCUGCAAAUAAUGCAACUGACAAGGGCUUAAUUUCUAAAAUAUACAAAUAGGUCAUAUAACUCAGUAACAAAAAAAUAAAUAACGAAUCAAAAAAUGGGCAGAAGACCUAAACAGACAUUUCUCCAAAGACAUACAGAUAGCCAAUAAGCAUAUGAAAAGAUGCUCAUCAUUGCUAAUUAUUAGAGAAAUGAAAUCAAAACUACAAUGAGGUGUCACCUCACACCGGUCAGAAUGGUUAUUAUUAAAAUGUCGACAAAUACUAAAUGCUGGAGGGUGUGGUGAAAAGGAAACUCUCUUACAUGUUGGUGGGAAUGUAAACUGGUGCAGCCACUAUGGAAAACAGUAUGAAGGCUUCUCAAAAAACUAAAAAUACAGUUGCCAUAUGGUCCAGCAAUUCCAUUCCUGGGCAUAUAUCCAUACAAAACUAUAAUUCAAAGAGGUUUAUGCACCCCUAUGUUCACAGCAGUACUAUUCACAAUAGCCAAGACAUGGAAGCAUCCUGAAUGUCCAUCAACAGAUGAAUGGAUAAAGAAG
This 6635-nucleotide long non-coding RNA is filed under the name Sus scrofa (pig). RNAcentral's name for it is "lncRNA (ENSSSCG00000056037.1)". The record is from RNAcentral. Lineage: Eukaryota; Metazoa; Chordata; Mammalia; Artiodactyla; Suidae.